AGAGGGUGAUCGGCCACACUGGGACUGAGACACGGCCCAGACUCCUACGGGAGGCAGCAGUAGGGAAUCUUCCGCAAUGGACGAAAGUCUGACGGAGCAACGCCGCGUGAGUGAAGAAGGGUUUCGGCUCGUAAAACUCUGUUGUCAGGGAAGAACGCCGACGGGAGUAACUGCCCGUCGGGUGACGGUACCUGACCAGAAAGCCACGGCUAACUACGUGCCAGCAGCCGCGGUAAUACGUAGGUGGCAAGCGUUAUCCGGAAUUAUUGGGCGUAAAGCGCGCGUAGGCGGUUCGUUAAGUCUGAUGUGAAAGCCCCCGGCUCAACCGGGGAGGGUCAUUGGAAACUGGCGGACUUGAGUGCAGAAGAGGAGAGUGGAAUUCCAUGUGUAGCGGUGAAAUGCGCAGAGAUAUGGAGGAACACCAGUGGCGAAGGCGGCUCUCUGGUCUGCAACUGACGCUGAGGUGCGAAAGCGUGGGGAUCAAACAGGAUUAGAUACCCUGGUAGUCCACGCCGUAAACGAUGAGUGCUAGGUGUUAGACCCUUUCCGGGGUUUAGUGCCGUAGCUAACGCAUUAAGCACUCCGC
This 586-nucleotide ribosomal RNA is filed under the name uncultured Symbiodinium. RNAcentral's name for it is "partial Bacterial small subunit ribosomal RNA". It matches the Rfam family "Bacterial small subunit ribosomal RNA", at positions 295 to 872 of the family's 1533-position model. Lineage: Eukaryota; Dinophyceae; Suessiales; Symbiodiniaceae. The record is from RNAcentral.